Non-coding RNA from Trichobilharzia regenti, 46 nucleotides. Lineage: Eukaryota; Metazoa; Platyhelminthes; Trematoda; Strigeidida; Schistosomatidae. The record is from Rfam.
GUACUGAUGAAGAGUCCCAAACUAGGACGAAAUAGCCGUCCAGUAU